ACGGGAGGCAGCAGUGGGGAAUAUUGCACAAUGGAGGAAACUCUGAUGCAGCGACGCCGCGUGAGUGAAGAAGUAUUUCGGUAUGUAAAGCUCUAUCAGCAGGGAAGAAAAUGACGGUACCUGACUAAGAAGCUCCGGCUAAAUACGUGCCAGCAGCCGCGGUAAUACGUAUGGAGCAAGCGUUAUCCGGAUUUACUGGGUGUAAAGGGAGCGUAGACGGCGUGGCAAGUCUGAUGUGAAAGCUAUGGGCUCAACCCAUAAACUGCAUUGGAAACUGUCAUGCUAGAGUGUCGGAGAGGUAAGCGGAAUUCCUAGUGUAGCGGUGAAAUGCGUAGAUAUUAGGAGGAACACCAGUGGCGAAGGCGGCUUACUGGACGAUAACUGACGUUGAGGCUCGAAAGCGUGGGGAGCAAACAGGAUUAGAUACCCUGGUA
Molecule: ribosomal RNA, 434 nt
Filed under: uncultured bacterium
Lineage: Bacteria
Description: partial 16S ribosomal RNA
Rfam family: Bacterial small subunit ribosomal RNA
Source: RNAcentral